AUCUGUUAUCUGAUACAGUAGGUUAUAUCUGCUGUCUGAUACAGUAGGUUAUAUCUGUUGUCUGAUACAGUAGGUUAUAUCUGUUGUCUGAUACAGUAGGUUAUAUCUGUUGUCUGAUACAGUAGGUUAUAUCUGUUGUCUGAUACAGUAGGUUAUAUCUGUUGUCUGAUACAGUAGGUUAUAUCUGUUGUCUGAUACAGUAGGUUAUAUCUGUUGUCUGAUACAGUAGGUUAUAUCUGUUGUCUGAUACAGUAGGUUAUAUCUGUUGUCUGAUACAGUAGGUUAUAUCUGUUGUCUGAUACAGUAGGUUAUAUCUGUUGUCUGAUACAGUAGGUUAUAUCUGUUGUCUGAUACAGUAGGUUAUAUCUGUUGUCUGAUACAGUAGGUUAUAUCUGUUGUCUGAUACAGUAGGUUAUAUCUGUUGUCUGAUACAGUAGGUUAUAUCUGUUAUCUGAUACAGUAGGUUAUAUCUGUUGUCUGAUACAGUAGGUUAUAUCUGUUAUCUGAUACAGUAGGUUAUAUCUGCUGUCUGAUACAGUAGGUUAUAUCUGCUGUCUGAUACAGUAGGUUAUAUCUGUUGUCUGAUACAGUAGGUUAUAUCUGUUGUCUGAUACAGUAGGUUAUAUCUGUUGUCUGAUACAGUAGGUUAUAUCUGUUAUCUGAUACAGUAGGUUAUAUCUGCUGCCUGAUACAGUAGGUUAUAUCUGAAUCAUUUGCCUGAACAAAAACAACAAAAUAAUGAUGAAAGUAAUAGUUAUAAUUCAGUCAUUUAUUUAGAUGGUUUUCGUACCCACCACAGGCCUUUUACCUUGCUGAUAACAAUUCCCGUAUAUAUAUCUCAUCUGGAAAGUUGCUACUACAGUAUCGCUAUUAAAUCAAUACAUCAAUCCUUUGUUGUUUUGGGCGUGGCUCAUGCAUAUUUAAUGAUGUUUUGGCGGGAAAGUGACGCCCCCCCACCCCCCUUAACACUCCAGGUAUUGGAAUGAUGAAGCGUCACAACCAUGAAUCGCCAUGGCAACAGCA
Molecule: long non-coding RNA, 1023 nt
Organism: Oncorhynchus keta (chum salmon)
Lineage: Eukaryota; Metazoa; Chordata; Actinopteri; Salmoniformes; Salmonidae
Exons: 3
Source: RefSeq, a predicted model, not a curated record